RNAcentral lists this ribosomal RNA (468 nucleotides) under uncultured bacterium. Its description in RNAcentral is "partial 16S ribosomal RNA". It matches the Rfam family "Bacterial small subunit ribosomal RNA", at positions 28 to 507 of the family's 1533-position model. The record is from RNAcentral.
GACGAACGCUGGCGGCGUGCUUAACACAUGCAAGUCGAACGGAAAGGCCCUGCUUUUGUGGGGUGCUCGGGUGGCGAACGGGUGAGUAACACGUGAGUAACCUGCCCUUGACUUUGGGAUAACUUCAGGAAACUGGGGCUAAUACCGGAUAGGAGCUCCUGCUGCAUGGUGGGGGUUGGAAAGUUUCGGCGGUUGGGGAUGGACUCGCGGCUUAUCAGCUUGUUGGUUGGGUAGUGGCUUACCAAGGCUUUGACGGGUAGCCGGCCUGAGAGGGUGACCGGCCACAUUGGGACUGAGAUACGGCCCAGACUGCUACGGGAGGCAGCAGUGGGGAAUAUUGCACAAUGGGCGGAAGCCUGAUGAAGCAACGCCGCGUGCGGGAUGACGGCCUUCGGGUUGUAAACCGCUUUCGCCUGUGACGACGCGUGAGUGACGGUAAUGGGUAAAGAAGCACCGGCUAACUACGUG